GCGCGAUUAGCUCAGUGGUAGAGCGCUAGCUCGACACGCUAGAUGUCGCUGGUUCAAAUCCAGCAUCGCGCACCA
Molecule: transfer RNA, 75 nt
Filed under: Roseibacillus sp.
Lineage: Bacteria; Pseudomonadati; Verrucomicrobiota; Verrucomicrobiia; Verrucomicrobiales; Verrucomicrobiaceae
Also listed under: 6 other names
Description: tRNA-Val
Rfam family: tRNA
About the family: Transfer RNA (tRNA) molecules are approximately 80 nucleotides in length. Their secondary structure includes four short double-helical elements and three loops (D, anti-codon, and T loops).
Source: RNAcentral